AGCCAGGUCGAUUGCUGCACGCGGAUGGCUGCGGCGGGAGAGUGACCACGAGCUUGGCCGGUGACAGCCACCGGCGAAGGAUAGUCGACGACCUUUACGCCCGCCGACCCGCGACAAAAAUAAAAAGUACGAAAAAUUAAUAAUAUGUUCGACAGUCAUACCUCAUGGACCUAUGGCAUUUAGUUCUUAAAUAUAAAUAUUGCCAAUGCGCGCCAAUGCGCUGGUCCAGACAAAAACGAAACGUUCCUGACCAAGUCUACAACAAAAUUUAAAAUAUACAACUGUCAAAAACGCGUAAUAUAAUUUAUUCGAAAUGAGAUAGAUAUAUCUACAAGAAUAGCGUUGCGGACACCGAUAUAAUAUAUUAUAUUAAUUGUAAAUCAUAUGAAAUGUGUAAGUUCUAUAUCUUAAAAUAUGGCUGAAUUAUUAAUUAUUUAAUAAGUUACUAAAAAAAAUAUGAUUCCUGAACUUUUAACUUUAAAUUUAUAAAGAAUCAAUAUUCCAAGAAAGAAAUUUGAAACAAAAUGCAAAUUUUUAUUUCACGAUUGAACAAACCUUAAACCAAUUAAAUUUUCUAUUUUCUUACUUAUUUUAUACAUUUAAAAUACACAUACGUGGAAUGUGGAUGGUAUUAAACUACAAUUAUUAAAAUGAUCAUACUAAGAAACUAUAGUAAUGAAUAUGCGUUGUUAAAUAUUAAUACUGCGUAAUAAUAAUGCAUUCAAAAUUACCAACAAUAGUUACCCUUUAAAAUAAUUUGCACACAUUUCUAUAUUUAAGUAUUUGUAUAAAAAAAAAAUGAUAUUAUUCACAAAUAAAUUGAGUGCAAAACA
This is a long non-coding RNA of Rhopalosiphum padi (bird cherry-oat aphid), 833 nucleotides long. RefSeq lists it as uncharacterized. The transcript has 3 exons. The record is from RefSeq and is a predicted model, not a curated record. NCBI's taxonomy places the organism in Eukaryota, Metazoa, Arthropoda, Insecta, Hemiptera, Aphididae.